UCAGAACCCGAGGUUACUCUAGGAGUGGCUGUAACGAUGAAACGUGCCUUGUUAAGAUAGGAAAGUAUUGCUCGUAGUAAGACAGUUAAAUUAAGUCAAUAAAACUAAGCAUCCUGAGACUAUUUCCCUUAAUUCAUUGACUUAAAGACCCAGAGGGCAAUUCCACCUUUGUGAAUUUGUCACCGAAGCAAUCAGCAUGAAAUUGUUCUGUGAGAAGCAUUCAGCUUGAUGAUGUUUUCAAGCUUACAACACUAUGAAAUAUACUUGCUUUUCUGUUAUUUGAAGUGCGCUUUCAUUCAAGGAAGACUUUUGUCAAUCUGAUUGGAGCUGCCCAGUGAUUUUAAAAGAACAAUGUGUGACAGAACUGAACUCUGAUGGCGCCGUCACCACCUUACUUCCUCUGGGGCGCGCCGUUCACCGUGGUGACUUGACAAAGAGACCAGCGCCGGUUUAAUUUUGAGCCCC
Molecule: long non-coding RNA, 465 nt
Organism: Molossus molossus (Pallas's mastiff bat)
Lineage: Eukaryota; Metazoa; Chordata; Mammalia; Chiroptera; Molossidae
Exons: 3
Source: RefSeq, a predicted model, not a curated record